Small nuclear RNA from Schistocerca serialis cubense, 102 nucleotides. NCBI's taxonomy places the organism in Eukaryota, Metazoa, Arthropoda, Insecta, Orthoptera, Acrididae. The record is from RefSeq and is a predicted model, not a curated record.
GUACUCGUUAUGGUGGUACAUAUACUAAAACUGGAACUACACAGAGAAGAUUAGUAAAGCUCCUGAACAAAGUUGACAAAACCUAAGGAAAACAAAGUUGUA